Molecule: ribosomal RNA, 722 nt
Filed under: uncultured Staphylococcus sp.
Lineage: Bacteria; Bacillati; Bacillota; Bacilli; Caryophanales; Staphylococcaceae
Description: bacterial SSU rRNA
Rfam family: Bacterial small subunit ribosomal RNA
Source: RNAcentral
CAUGCAAGUCGAGCGAACAGACGAGGAGCUUGCUCCUCUGACGUUAGCGGCGGACGGGUGAGUAACACGUGGAUAACCUACCUAUAAGACUGGGAUAACUUCGGGAAACCGGAGCUAAUACCGGAUAAUAUAUUGAACCGCAUGGUGUCAAUAGUGAAAGACGGUUUUGCUGUCACUUAUAGAUGGAUCCGCGCCGCAUUAGCUAGUUGGUAAGGUAACGGCUUACCAAGGCAACGAUGCGUAGCCGACCUGAGAGGGUGAUCGGCCACACUGGAACUGAGACACGGUCCAGACUCCUACGGGAGGCAGCAGUAGGGAAUCUUCCGCAAUGGGCGAAAGCCUGACGGAGCAACGCCGCGUGAGUGAUGAAGGUCUUCGGAUCGUAAAACUCUGUUAUUAGGGAAGAACAAAUGUGUAAGUAACUAUGCACGUCUUGACGGUACCUAAUCAGAAAGCCACGGCUAACUACGUGCCAGCAGCCGCGGUAAUACGUAGGUGGCAAGCGUUAUCCGGAAUUAUUGGGCGUAAAGCGCGCGUAGGCGGUUUUUUAAGUCUGAUGUGAAAGCCCACGGCUCAACCGUGGAGGGUCAUUGGAAACUGGAAAACUUGAGUGCAGAAGAGGAAAGUGGAAUUCCAUGUGUAGCGGUGAAAUGCGCAGAGAUAUGGAGGAACACCAGUGGCGAAGGCGACUUUCUGGUCUGUAACUGACGCUGAUGUGCGAA